UGGGCAACCUGCCCCUCUCUCUGGGAUAACCCCGGGAAACCGGAGCUAAUACCGGAUACUCCGGCUGGAUCGCAUGGUCCGGCCGGGAAAGGUCCGCCGGAGAGGGAUGGGCCCGCGGCCUAUCAGCUUGUUGGUGGGGUCAUGGCUCACCAAGGCAACGACGGGUAGCUGGU
This 173-nucleotide ribosomal RNA is filed under the name uncultured bacterium. RNAcentral describes it as "partial 16S ribosomal RNA". It matches the Rfam family "Bacterial small subunit ribosomal RNA", at positions 118 to 291 of the family's 1533-position model. The record is from RNAcentral.